UUUGGGAGUGAAAUAUGAUUAGAUGUCAUGUGUAUGAGUGAGUAUAACAACUAGAACCGCAAUUGGAAUUUUAAAAGCCUAAGUAUUGUAUCCUUGUUAGAAGAUACAAAGACAAACACUCAUACGUACUUCGGCUACACCAUCAAAGCUUAGAGAAGCAAGAAGAAGCUUGGUUAGUGUUCUGGAAUCGAAUAUGACUUGAUGUGAUGUGUAUGAUUGAGUAUAAGAAAUUAAACCGCAACCGGAUCUUAAAACCUUAAGUAUUGUUUCCUUGUUAGAAGAUACAAAGGCAAAGCCUCAUACAGCCUUUAGCUAUACCAUCAAAGCCUUGAGAAGCAAUAAGAAGCUUGGUUAGUGUUUUGGAGUCAAAUAUUACUAGAUGUCAUGUGUAUGAGUGAGUAUGACAACUAGAACCAUAACCGGAUCUUAAAAACCUAAGUAUUGAAUCUUUGUUAGAAGAUACAAAGAAAAAGACUCAUACGGACUUCGACUACACUAUCAAAGCUUUGAGAAGCAAGAAGAACCUUGGUUAGUGUUUUGGAUUCGAAUAUGACUUGAUGUCAUGUGUAUGACUCAGUAUAAAAACUAGAACCGCAACAUAUCUUAGAAGCAUAAGUAUUGUAUCAUUGUUAGAAGAUUC
This 640-nucleotide small RNA is filed under the name Arabidopsis thaliana (thale cress). Its description in RNAcentral is "ATSL269740". The record is from RNAcentral. Lineage: Eukaryota; Viridiplantae; Streptophyta; Magnoliopsida; Brassicales; Brassicaceae.